This is a long non-coding RNA of Sycon ciliatum, 1044 nucleotides long. RefSeq lists it as uncharacterized. NCBI's taxonomy places the organism in Eukaryota, Metazoa, Porifera, Calcarea, Leucosolenida, Sycettidae. The transcript has 2 exons. The record is from RefSeq and is a predicted model, not a curated record.
UCCACGAAAAAAUGAAACUUUGAUAGCCUGUAGAGUUUCGGGCGCUGAGUCGAAUGGUCUUGGUCCGAAGUCUCUACGACGAAGCGUUCUUGAGAUAUUUCACUUUGAAAUUGCAAAAACGGGGGCCGCGCCCUGACGUCAUGCGGCCAUUUGGUUACAUCAUCACGGGCUGCCUACGUCAUUGUGGCAAAGUCGUUUCUCUUCGCCAGUCUACAAGCACUAAUUUUAGUUGGUAUUUCAAGGGAAGAUGGGCGAUUCCGAACAAUCCUCUGUCCCCAGCAAUGAAGGCAGCGAUGCUGAGGCCAGUGAGGACGACCAACAGCCCACCGCCGCGUAUGGUUGGGGCAGGGAGCCCAGAUACUCUGCUGAGGAGCUGCCAUCGCGUGUAACAAAUGUGGAGGAAGAAGAUGCGUCAGCAGCUGCGUCCGACAGAAGACGAGUAGCUUGGCCACCAGAAUCUCGAUUCGUUUGGGACUCCGACUGGUGCGAGCGUGGACAAAAGUGUAUAGCCAUGCCCAGCCCGCGGGAAUGAUUUUGCUGGUAGGAUGCUGCCGUCGCUGUCGACAAGACGGCCCAAGGUUUCUUGCGUAGCGGACCUCGCAGAUUACGAGCCCAUGAUCGUAUCCUUGCAUUAGGCUGUGCUCAUCACUGCUCUUCGAGGUUAUCUCGACAUGCAGAAGCCGCCAAUGCCAGUGACAGAAGAGUCUGACAUUAGAUCUCUACGCUAUGCGGCACACAGGCAGUACACACUAUGUACACGGCAAAUUGGGCAAGCACGUUCGUUGUCGUCUUCCAGCCUGCGUUGUGAAUACCAUCAGGCAAAGAUAUCCAAAUCCUGCACCACCUCAGCCUUCUCAGGAGGCUUCCACCUGGAAUUUGGCAGGGAAACACGCUUCUCCAAGGCAGGAACAUGGAGGUUGCCAUUUGCAACCGCUACCACCUCACACAUGAGCUUGUCAACAUACUCAUAGCUCUUUCUGUCGUAUAAUUUUCUAUUUGGCCACAGUCUUCUUUAUGCUUUGAGAACUGGACUUUAUACCUUCC